GGAUCGAUGAUGACCCCACAAACGCAUUCCUUGGAAAAUCUGAACAAAAUGAGUGAGAACUCACUACCGUCUCCUCAUCGCAAACUGAGGUCC
The sequence is a small nucleolar RNA, 93 nucleotides long. Its record names the gene SNORD116. It matches the Rfam family "Small nucleolar RNA SNORD116". Rfam says of the family: HBII-85 is a member of the C/D class of snoRNAs, which contain the C (UGAUGA) and D (CUGA) box motifs. HBII-85 is encoded in a tandemly repeated array with another C/D snoRNA, HBII-52, in the Prader-Willi syndrome (PWS) region of chromosome 15. Unlike most other snoRNAs, HBII-85 is expressed prevalently in the brain (but is absent in PWS patients) and lacks any significant complementarity with ribosomal RNA. The record is from Ensembl.